Molecule: ribosomal RNA, 497 nt
Filed under: uncultured bacterium
Lineage: Bacteria
Description: partial 16S ribosomal RNA
Rfam family: Bacterial small subunit ribosomal RNA
Source: RNAcentral
GAUGAACGCUGGCGGCGUGCCUAAUACAUGCAAGUCGAGCGAACAGAUGAGGAGCUUGCUCCUCUGACGUUAGCGGCGGACGGGUGAGUAACACGUGGAUAACCUACCUAUAAGACUGGGAUAACUUCGGGAAACCGGAGCUAAUACCGGAUAAUAUAUUGAACCGCAUGGUUCAAUAGUGAAAGACGGUUUUGCUGUCACUUAUAGAUGGAUCCGCGCCGCAUUAGCUAGUUGGUAAGGUAACGGCUUGCCAAGGCAACGAUGCGUAGCCGACCUGAGAGGGUGAUCGGCCACACUGGAACUGAGACACGGUCCAGACUCCUACGGGAGGCAGCAAUAGGGAAUCUUCCGCAAUGGGCGAAAGCCUGACGGAGCAACGCCGCGUGAGUGAUGAAGGUCUUCGGAUCGUAAAACUCUGUUAUUAGGGAAGAACAAAUGUGUAAGUAACUAUGCACGUCUUGACGGUACCUAAUCAGAAAGCCACGGCUAACUACGUG